GGCGAGAUGGUCUAGUGGUAAGGAAGAAGUGUUGCAAGUGCUUAAACCAGGAUCGAUUCCUGGUUGUGCCG
Non-coding RNA from Paramuricea clavata, 71 nucleotides. The record is from the annotation of a GenBank genome assembly. Lineage: Eukaryota; Metazoa; Cnidaria; Anthozoa; Malacalcyonacea; Plexauridae.